This 253-nucleotide ribosomal RNA is filed under the name uncultured bacterium. RNAcentral's name for it is "partial 16S ribosomal RNA". It matches the Rfam family "Bacterial small subunit ribosomal RNA", at positions 524 to 776 of the family's 1533-position model. The record is from RNAcentral.
UACGUAGGUGGCAAGCGUUGUCCGGAAUUAUUGGGCGUAAAGCGCGCGCAGGCGGUCCUUUAAGUCUGAUGUGAAAGCCCUCGGCUCAACCGAGGAGGGUCAUUGGAAACUGGAGGACUUGAGUGCAGAAGAGGAAAGUGGAAUUCCGAGUGUAGCGGUGAAAUGCGUAGAGAUUUGGAGGAACACCAGUGGCGAAGGCGACUUUCUGGUCUGUAACUGACGCUGAGGCGCGAAAGCGUGGGGAGCAAACAGG